RNAcentral lists this ribosomal RNA (439 nucleotides) under uncultured bacterium. RNAcentral describes it as "bacterial SSU rRNA". It matches the Rfam family "Bacterial small subunit ribosomal RNA", at positions 467 to 905 of the family's 1533-position model. The record is from RNAcentral.
AAAUGACGGUACCUGACUAAGAAGCACCGGCUAAAUACGUGCCAGCAGCCGCGGUAAUACGUAUGGUGCAAGCGUUAUCCGGAUUUACUGGGUGUAAAGGGAGCGUAGGUGGCAAGGCAAGCCAGAAGUGAAAACCCGGGGCUCAACCGCGGGAUUGCUUUUGGAACUGUCAUGCUAGAGUGCAGGAGGGGUGAGCGGAAUUCCUAGUGUAGCGGUGAAAUGCGUAGAUAUUAGGAGGAACACCGGAGGCGAAGGCGGCUCACUGGACUGUAACUGACACUGAGGCUCGAAAGCGUGGGGAGCAAACAGGAUUAGAUACCCUGGUAGUCCACGCGGUAAACGAUGAAUACUAGAUGUCGGGUAGCAUAGCUACUCGGUGUCGUCGCAAACGCAAUAAGUAUUCCACCUGGGGAGUACGUUCGCAAGAAUGAAACUCAAA